Molecule: ribosomal RNA, 338 nt
Filed under: uncultured Anoxybacillus sp.
Lineage: Bacteria; Bacillati; Bacillota; Bacilli; Caryophanales; Anoxybacillaceae
Description: bacterial SSU rRNA
Rfam family: Bacterial small subunit ribosomal RNA
Source: RNAcentral
CAUGGUUGUCGUCAGCUCGUGUCGUGAGAUGCUGGGUUAAGUCCCGCAACGAGCGCAACCCUCGACCUUAGUUGCCAGCAUUCAGUUGGGCACUCUAAGGUGACUGCCGGCUAAAAGUCGGAGGAAGGUGGGAUGACGUCAAAUCAUCAUGCCCCUUAUGACCUGGGCUACACACGUGCUACAAUGGGCGGUACAAAGGGUCGCGAAACCCGCGAGGGGGAGCCAAUCCCAAAAAAGCCGCUCUCAGUUCGGAUUGCAGGCUGCAACUCGCCUGCAUGAAGCCGGAAUCGCUAGUAAUCGCGGAUCAGCAUGCCGCGGUGAAUACGUUCCCGGGCCUU